CCUACGGGAGGCAGCAGUGAGGAAUAUUGGUCAAUGGGCGCUAGCCUGAACCAGCCAAGUCGCGUGAAGGAUGACUGCCCUAUGGGUUGUAAACUUCUUUUAUAUGGGAAUAAAGUGCAGUAUGUAUACUGCUUUGCAUGUACCUUAUGAAUAAGGAUCGGCUAACUCCGUGCCAGCAGCCGCGGUAAUAAGGAGGAUCCGAGCGUUUUCCGGAUUUUUUGGGGUUAAAGGGAGCGUAGGCGGGUUGUUAAGUCAGUUGUGAAAGUUUGCGGCCCAACCGUCAAAUUGCAGUUGAUACUGGCAUUCUUGAGUACGGGAGAGGUAGGCGGAAUUCGUGGUGUAGCGGUGAAAUGCUUAGAUAUCACGAAGAACUCCGAUUGCGAAGGCAGCCUGCUGGACUGUAACUGACGCUGAUGCUCGAAAGUGUGGGUAUCAAACAGGAUUAGAUACCCGAGUAGUC
Molecule: ribosomal RNA, 460 nt
Filed under: uncultured bacterium
Lineage: Bacteria
Description: partial 16S ribosomal RNA
Rfam family: Bacterial small subunit ribosomal RNA
Source: RNAcentral